CUCACUCGCUCAAGAAUCCCAGGUGGGGAUUAUACCACCUACGCUAUUAAAGUGAGCAGCACAUUCUGCUCACUUAAAUGUGAGUAUUCCAUGUUCUUAUUUCUAUCUGCUGUAAUAUAAAUACAGUGAGCACUAUAUUUGUUUUCUCUCUCUUUCCACACUGAGGACUUCUUCUGAUGCCACUGAAUGCGAGUUACACCUGAACUAGUUCCAGCUCUCCAAUAGGUGAGUCCAAUACCUUCCUGCUGUGAAGUUUUUAUUUCUACGUAAUUUUUAGUCGCAGUCUGCACUAUUGGAAUGUUCCCUUUUUAUCUACAUAUCUCCAUCCAGAACAAGAGAACCUGAC
Non-coding RNA from Pelobates cultripes (western spadefoot toad), 346 nucleotides. NCBI's taxonomy places the organism in Eukaryota, Metazoa, Chordata, Amphibia, Anura, Pelobatidae. The record is from the annotation of a GenBank genome assembly.